RNAcentral lists this ribosomal RNA (508 nucleotides) under uncultured bacterium. RNAcentral describes it as "partial 16S ribosomal RNA". It matches the Rfam family "Bacterial small subunit ribosomal RNA", at positions 30 to 523 of the family's 1533-position model. The record is from RNAcentral.
AUUGAACGCUGGCGGCAUGCCUUACACAUGCAAGUCGAACGGCAGCGGGGGAGAAGCUUGCUUUUCCUGCCGGCGAGUGGCGAACGGGUGAGUAAUACAUCGGAACGUGCCCUGUAGUGGGGGAUAACUAGUCGAAAGAUUAGCUAAUACCGCAUACGACCUGAGGGUGAAAGUGGGGGACCGCAAGGCCUCAUGCUAUAGGAGCGGCCGAUGUCUGAUUAGCUAGUUGGUGGGGUAAAGGCCUACCAAGGCGACGAUCAGUAGCUGGUCUGAGGGGACGAUCAGCCACACUGGGACUGAGACACGGCUCAGACUCCUACGGGAGGCAGCAGUGGGGAAUUUUGGACAAUGGGCGAAAGCCUGAUCCAGCAAUGCCGCGUGUGUGAAGAAGGCCUUCGGGUUGUAAAGCACUUUUGUCCGGGAAGAAAUGGCUCUGGUUAAUACCUGGGGUCGAUGACGGUACCGGAAGAAUAAGGACCGGCUAACUACGUGCCAGCCGCCGCAGUAA